This 235-nucleotide ribosomal RNA is filed under the name uncultured bacterium. RNAcentral describes it as "partial 16S ribosomal RNA". It matches the Rfam family "Bacterial small subunit ribosomal RNA", at positions 96 to 334 of the family's 1533-position model. The record is from RNAcentral.
CGGCGGACGGGUGAGUAAUGCCUAGGAAUCUGCCUGGUAGUGGGGGAUAACGUCCGGAAACGGGCGCUAAUACCGCAUACGUCCUGAGGGAGAAAGUGGGGGAUCUUCGGACCUCACGCUAUCAGAUGAGCCUAGGUCGGAUUAGCUAGUUGGUGGGGUAAAGGCCUACCAAGGCGACGAUCCGUAACUGGUCUGAGAGGACGAUCAGUCACACUGGAACUGAGACACGGUCCAG